CCUACAAACUCGUCAUAUCAUUUAUCUAUAAAUGAUCUAUUACAGUUAAACCCCCAUUGCUGCCGAUGGGGCCGGGUUUACUGCCAGAGGGAACUGUCUUUCGUGAGCCAGUUGGACAGAUUUACCCACAGGAGACUAUAAAUCCACCCCCAGAU
Long non-coding RNA from Pecten maximus, 155 nucleotides. RefSeq lists it as uncharacterized. The transcript has 3 exons. The record is from RefSeq and is a predicted model, not a curated record. Lineage: Eukaryota; Metazoa; Mollusca; Bivalvia; Pectinida; Pectinidae.